GAUGAACGCUGGCGGCGUGCCUAAUACAUGCAAGUCGAGCGAACGGACGAUAAGCUUGCGUCUCUGCUGUUAGCGGCGGACGGGUGAGUAACACGUGGAUAACCAACUUAUAAUACUGGGAUAACUUCGGGAAACCGGAGCUAAUACCGGAUAAUAUUUUGAACCGCAUGGUUCAAAAGUGAAAGACGGUCUUGCCGUCACUUAUAGAUGGAUCCGCGCUGCAUUAGCUAGUUGGUAAGGUAACGGCUUACCAAGGCAACGAUGCAUAGCCGACCUGAGAGGGUGAUCGGCCACACUGGAACUGAGACACGGUCCAGACUCCUACGGGAGGCAGCAGUGGGGAAUCUUCGGCAAUGGGCGAAAGCCUGACGGAGCAACGCCGCGUGAGUGAUGAAGGUCUUCGGAUCGUAAAACUCUGUUAUUAGGGAAGAACAUAUGUGUAAGUAACUGUGCACAUCUUGACGGUACCUAAUCAGAAAGCAACGGCUAACUACGUG
This 497-nucleotide ribosomal RNA is filed under the name uncultured bacterium. RNAcentral describes it as "partial 16S ribosomal RNA". It matches the Rfam family "Bacterial small subunit ribosomal RNA", at positions 28 to 507 of the family's 1533-position model. The record is from RNAcentral.